CCUACGGGAGGCAGCAGUGGGGAAUUUUGGACAAUGGGCGCAAGCCUGAUCCAGCCAUGCCGCGUGCGGGAAGAAGGCCUUCGGGUUGUAAACCGCUUUUGUCAGGGAAGAAAUCCCUUGAGCUAAUACCUCGGGGGGAUGACGGUACCUGAAGAAUAAGCACCGGCUAACUACGUGCCAGCAGCCGCGGUAAUACGUAGGGUGCAAGCGUUAAUCGGAAUUACUGGGCGUAAAGCGUGCGCAGGCGGUUAUGUAAGACAGGUGUGAAAUCCCCGGGCUUAACCUGGGAACUGCACUUGUGACUGCAUAGCUUGAGUGCGGCAGAGGGGGAUGGAAUUCCGCGUGUAGCAGUGAAAUGCGUAGAUAUGCGGAGGAACACCGAUGGCGAAGGCAAUCCCCUGGGCCUGCACUGACGCUCAUGCACGAAAGCGUGGGGAGCAAACAGGAUUAGAUACCCUGGUAGUCCACGCCCUAAACGAUGUCAACUGGUUGUUGGACGGCUUGCUGUUCAGUAACGUAGCUAACGCGUGAAGUUGACCGCCUGGGGAGUACGGCCGCAAGGUUGAAACUCAAAUGAAUUGAGG
This 584-nucleotide ribosomal RNA is filed under the name uncultured bacterium. Its description in RNAcentral is "bacterial SSU rRNA". It matches the Rfam family "Bacterial small subunit ribosomal RNA", at positions 338 to 915 of the family's 1533-position model. The record is from RNAcentral.